CCCAGGCCUUCGGCCUGGGCUAAGAUGGGUCGCGCCUUUGGCGCU
Molecule: small RNA, 45 nt
Filed under: Terriglobus roseus DSM 18391
Lineage: Bacteria; Pseudomonadati; Acidobacteriota; Terriglobia; Terriglobales; Acidobacteriaceae
Description: Acido-Lenti-1 RNA
Rfam family: Acido-Lenti-1 RNA
Source: Rfam by way of RNAcentral